Molecule: long non-coding RNA, 732 nt
Filed under: Pongo abelii (Sumatran orangutan)
Lineage: Eukaryota; Metazoa; Chordata; Mammalia; Primates; Hominidae
Description: lincRNA
Source: RNAcentral
CACCAGUGAAAGAGGGGAAGUUGCUACUGUGAUGAAUUCUGCCAUGUGGUACCAGACUGCUGCCCAGACCACAGUGUCCUCUGCAACCCUGGUCAAAGGUGCCUACAUGUUCCUUCUAGCUUUGUUUCCCUGAUGUUCCUUGCCACCUGCUACUCCUCUCUGAGCUACUUUUCCAGGUUCCACAGGGAGAGGUUCAGCUGUCCAUGGUAGACAUGAGGGUAGAGAAUGAGAUGGUUGGGUUCCACUUACCUUUCUAUCAUCUUGCAGUAUGGAUGUCUCUUGACUGGUACCAUGUAGACUUUUGAGGGCAGACAGGAGUCUGCAGAGAGAUACUGGGGAUAUUGAGCAGCAGCAAUGGGGUUGGGAGGCAGAAAUGAGGACAGGAACAUUUACCUUGUGUUUCUCUCAGCUUCUCAGAUGACCAAGAUGGUGCUGCCGAUGGUGUUGAGGACGGAGAACCCACCAAGCCCCGUUAGGAGCCACCUAGACUGGAUGCAGAGCACAGUUCAGCGACUUCUCCAAACCAGCCUCCCAGGAAUGCUGUUCUCUAUGGCCGUGAGGGGAAUCAAGAAGAGAGCCUGACUCCUCUCCUGAGGUCCCUUCCACACCCUGAGCCAGCAGGAUCCACGGAGCAGAGGUCAUCUGCCCGCAACUUGGCCCACUGAGGCCAGCAUGGCUGGGCCCAGGAUGCUUGUCUCUCAGCUCCCAUCCUGUGUGCUUCCACAUUGGUUU